CGUAGGGGGCAAGCGUUGUCCGGAUUUAUUGGGCGUAAGGAGCGUGUAGGCGGCCAGAUAGGUCAGCUGUGAAAACUCGAGGCUCAACCUCGAGAUGUCGGCUGAAACCAUUUGGCUAGAGUCCGGAAGAGGAGAAUGGAAUUCCCGGUGUAGCGGUGAAAUGCGCAGAUAUCGGGAAGAACACCCGUGGCGAAGGCGGUUCUCUGGGACGGUACUGACGCUGAGACGCGAAAGCGUGGGGAGCGAACAGGAUUAGAUACCCUGGUAGUCCACGCCGUAAACGAUGGGAACUAGGUGUGGGCGGUGUCGACUCCGUCCGUGCCCGAAGCUAACGCAUUAAGUUCCCCGCCUGGGGAGUACGGCCGCAAGGCUA
This 373-nucleotide ribosomal RNA is filed under the name uncultured organism. RNAcentral describes it as "bacterial SSU rRNA". It matches the Rfam family "Bacterial small subunit ribosomal RNA", at positions 526 to 896 of the family's 1533-position model. The record is from RNAcentral.